Molecule: ribosomal RNA, 345 nt
Filed under: Triticum aestivum (bread wheat)
Lineage: Eukaryota; Viridiplantae; Streptophyta; Magnoliopsida; Poales; Poaceae
Description: partial small subunit ribosomal RNA
Source: RNAcentral
AUGGGCUGGUCGGUGGAGAAGGGAGGCCGGCAGGGCGCCGGGCCUUGGCGAGGCAAGGAGGCCCACGCGCGGAUCUGGCCCAAUCGGGCGACAUGCACGGUCAACGGGGAUCGAGCGGGUCCAGGCACGGGCAAAACUCCUCGUCGCGGUCACCGUCCUCGUGUGCGUGUUGUGGGACUUGGCGUGCGGGUGCAGCGACCUGAAGAAGGCGGCGCCGAUGGCAGGGAACAGCUGGGAACAGGGGUCUCCGGCCUGGAUCUGGUUCGUGGCGGCUUGGGGAGGCGGACAAACUCCAGGACGGGUGCGCGGUGGCCGAGGCAGUCCAUGGAGGCGCGACGGGGUUGA